UGCGGAAGGAUCAUUACUGUGAUUAAAACUUUCUACACAUGCGUGAGCGCAACUACAACACGAAAACGUAUGUACUAUUGUCAAAAAUAACAAAACAAACAAAACUUUCAACAACGGAUCUCUUGGUUCUCGCAUCGAUGAAGAGCGCAGCGAAAUGCGAUACCUAGUGUGAAUUGCAGCCAUCGUGAAUCAUCGAGUUCUUGAACGCACAUUGCGCCCUUCGGUAUUCCGGAGGGCAUGCCUGUUUGAGCGUCGUUUCCUUCUUGCGCCAGCGCAGAGUUGGAGGGGUGUAGUGCCCUUCUGAAAAGAAACGUGCGGGCGAAGCGAACUAUAUUGGGACGCUUGGCCGCCGAACUUUUAUUAAGCUCGACCUCAAAUCAGGUAGGGAAUACCCGCCUGAACUUAAGCAUA
This 411-nucleotide ribosomal RNA is filed under the name fungal sp. RNAcentral's name for it is "eukaryotic LSU rRNA". The stretch from base 103 to 255 matches the Rfam family "5.8S ribosomal RNA". Lineage: Eukaryota; Fungi. The record is from RNAcentral.